RNAcentral lists this ribosomal RNA (253 nucleotides) under uncultured bacterium. RNAcentral's name for it is "partial 16S ribosomal RNA". It matches the Rfam family "Bacterial small subunit ribosomal RNA", at positions 524 to 776 of the family's 1533-position model. The record is from RNAcentral.
CACGUAGGGGACGAGCGUUGUCCGGAUUCAUUGGGCGUAAAGCGCGCGUAGGCGGCUCGGAAAGUCGGUCGUGAAAUGCCGGGGCUCAACCCCGGGACUGCGUCCGAUACUCCCGAGCUGGAGGCAGGUAGGGGAGAUCGGAAUUCCUGGUGUAGCGGUGAAAUGCGCAGAUAUCGGGAGGAACACCAGUAGCGAAGGCGGCUCGCUGGGCCACACCUGACGCUGAGACGCGAAAGCUAGGGGAGCGAACAGG